Molecule: long non-coding RNA, 1360 nt
Organism: Juglans regia (Persian walnut)
Lineage: Eukaryota; Viridiplantae; Streptophyta; Magnoliopsida; Fagales; Juglandaceae
Exons: 2
Source: RefSeq, a predicted model, not a curated record
ACUGCCACUCCUACCGUCACUCUAGAGGUCCCUCUCACUUCUCCAAUGUGCCUCUUGAGAACUUAAACCAGCACAACCAUCGUAGCCCCAACAACUUCUGUGGAGGCAAUCACCGGCCCUUUGAGAGCCCUCCUCGCCAAUCCCCUGACAGCUUUAGGGGAGGAGGCUUCAGGCCAAUUGGUGGCGCUGGUGGAGGUUUCGGCCCCAAUUAUCAUCAGAAAUUGCCUCUUUCGGGUCAGAAGCGAGGGUUCCUUUUGUCUGGCCUUGGAGGCUCUCCACCAGUUCGCCCUUAGACUUUUGUGUUUGUGCCAUAUGUCUAAAAACUCUGAAUUCUAUGUUGCUCGUAUUCCAGGCGCGUUUCUGUGGCGCAUUACCAACUGGAUUGUUUGGAGCUUUACUUCACUCAUGUUUGUAUUGUUAAAUUGUUUUAAAGAAUUUAUUUAUUUUUUCCUAUCAGUGCUGGUUAAUAGCUCUAGUCGAUUUUUGGAUGAAUUCGUGGUAGUGCAUAGAGACUCAUGGUUGAAUGCAGCAUCGAAGUGAUUUGUAGUUUCCUUUUUAUUUUAUCUAUCUAUUAUGUUCCCUACAUACCUGCAUCUUCUGUUUCUUUUCUCGUGUUUACACUUUCUGAGAAUUUUGAUGGUGGGAGUUUUACCAAACUAUUUGUUGGACCUGUUCCAAGGACAGCCGCUAAGGAAAAUAUUCGCCCUUUGUUUGGAGAGCAUGGAAAUGUUAUAGAGGUUGCUCUGAUCAAAGAUAAAAGAACAGGACAACAAGAAGGUGCGUGUUAAAGCUAUUUUCUAUGAAAUGAUUGUGAUCCAUGCUUAUCUUAUUUCAGGCCAUCUGGGAGGCUGAUGGGAGCUAGUGUAAGCUCAUCUUCCGUCUCAGUUGAUUUUGCAACAAGUUUCAGGCUUGUUGGUUUUGGUUGCGACCCUUUUUUGUGUCCAUCCUGUCAAACAAGAAAGAAGCCUAACCCACUAAAAACCAGCUUUUGUAUAUCAAUCGGGAUCUUGGAAGACAAAUAGAUCCGGCUCUUGGAAUUGUAGCUGCUGAGGUGGAAGCAUUACCCAACAAAUCAUUUGUAAUGGGAGUGUCUAUUGCCGUAACUGUAGCGUGUUUAUGACAGGGUGGUUAGGAUUGUUGCUAUUGUACAGAGAUUGACACCAAAUACUUGGAUUAUUGUUUCUGAAUGGAAUUAGUCUCAUUGUAAUUUGCAAUUGUGUGUGGUUUUUACUUAUCCUGGUGAACCUGGGAGUUCUUUCAAAUGUCUCGGAUUGUAAUAUUUCAAUUCUUUUCGUAUUGGUUAGGUGAGAUUGAUCAUCUGUUAGCGAUUUAUGGUGAUUAGAUUUAAUGGAUUGUGAUA